GUUGUUGCAGUUAAAAAGCUCGUAGUUGGAUCUCGGGUACUAGCAUGUGGUACGCUUUGUUGCUGUUACUACAUGACUGGUCCUAAUCAACCGGUUGGCCGUUGAUGCCCUUUAUUGGGUGUUUUCGGUAGCCGGUACGUUUACUUUGAGAAAAUUAGAGUGCUUAAAGCAGGCUAUACGCCUGAAUAAUGUUGCAUGGAAUAAUAGAAUAGGACCUCGGUUCUAUUUUGUUGGUUUUGUAGAGCAUUGAGGUAAUGAUUAAUAGGGACAGACGGGGGCAUUCGUAUUGCGGUGUUAGAGGUGAAAUUCUUGGAUCGCCGCAAGACGAACAACUGCGAAAGCAUUUGCCAAGAAUGUUUUCAUUAAUCAAGAACGAAAGUUGGAGGUUCGAAGACGAUUAGAUACCGUCCUAGUUCCAACCAUAAACGAUGCCAUCUAGCAAUCAGUUGCUGUUAAUUAAACGACACAGCUGGCGGCUUCCGGGAAACCAAAGACUUUGGGUUCCGGGGGAAGUAUGGUUGCAAAGCUGAAACUUAAAGGAAUUGACGGAAGGGCACCACCAGGAGUGGAGCCUGCGGCUUAAUUUGACUCAACACGGGAAAUCUCA
This 607-nucleotide ribosomal RNA is filed under the name Taphrocampa selenura. RNAcentral describes it as "SSU rRNA". It matches the Rfam family "Eukaryotic small subunit ribosomal RNA", at positions 609 to 1217 of the family's 1831-position model. Lineage: Eukaryota; Metazoa; Rotifera; Eurotatoria; Ploima; Notommatidae. The record is from RNAcentral.